RNAcentral lists this unclassified non-coding RNA (1207 nucleotides) under Dermacentor andersoni. RNAcentral's name for it is "uncharacterized LOC126533925". Lineage: Eukaryota; Metazoa; Arthropoda; Arachnida; Ixodida; Ixodidae. The record is from RNAcentral.
AGUGAAAACAAACUUCGAGCAGCGUCGCUACUCCCUGCAGACGUUCGACCGUUUUGCAGACGACAAAACGACGCCGCCUGCAGUUUGUCGAGAGGCAGUUCCGGUACACAAGUUUAGCUUCCGGUUUUCGGUGUAAACAUGCCGGUUCGGCGCACGCCGCGAUGUUCAGACGUCUAUCGAGAAGUAGCCGCUUUUCCUGAUUUGACCUCUUGAAGAACAGCGGCAAGUCGCUCAAUUAAUCCCAUAGGUUACAGUCGUGGCGCAAACUACGAUGCUGAGGCUGUUGUGCCAAUUCACACACGUACGGAACAUCGCGAGGUUUGUCAGGCGGCACUCACAACUGGCAAAAAUCGGUGGGAAAACCGCCUUUUUGACAACGAUUGCCUGGAGCCUCCCGAUUAUAGCAAGAUGCGUGGAAGACGACAGCGAUGGCACGCUUACAACCAUUGACCCAGAAAUGCUGUCGCAUGAGUUCCUCAUCAAGCAAGCAAGCAUUGUUGCUGUUGAGGCAGCUAGCAGGGUACUCAUUCAGCUCACUGCAGCCAUCCUCGAUGCCCAUGAAGCAUACCGGAAAAGCCUGAACAAGCUGAGCAGCCUGUUGAAGCGGUUUGAGACAGAAGUGGGCCUCUGCUCGGGAGACGACUCCAUCUGGCUGGAGAUGAUCGCCAUCCGAGAGGAGACCAACAGGCUCAAGGCAGAUGUUCUAUCUCUCGAGUCGCGAAUGCAAAGCGUCACUGGCCUCAUGGAGGCCAUGGCACAGACAGCUUUUGCCAACGGUGCUGAAUACGCUGGCAUCUGCGCCAACGAACGUCUGCUCUCGUCUGAACGCCAGAUAAGGUCUGCCGCCCAGAAGACUGCAACCCUCGAAGAUGUCCUCAACAAGGCUCACAGAGACGCCGUCAUCUCUGGUGCUGACAAAGCGGACGCACCAGAGAAAAACGACCUAAAGAAAACGUAGCAGCGGUAGGCGUAGAUGAGAAAAAUACCUGCAAAGUACAUUUAAAAUGCACUGAAAUGAUGUUGCAAUCUAGGAUAAAGAAAUCAGCACAAUGAACCAUUCAUGUGAUGCCAUGACUUCACCUACAUCUUUAGGGGCAUACAAGGAUGCUGUACAGACAUCAGGAGCUUCGGGUUGAAAAAAAGAACAUGUACAUUUACGGUGAUCCAUGGCUCGACCAAAUAAAAUUAGUUUGUUGUGUUUCCAAAA